AGUGAACGCUGGCGGUAGGCCUAACACAUGCAAGUCGAACGGCAGCACAGUAAGAGCUUGCUCUUACGGGUGGCGAGUGGCGGACGGGUGAGGAAUACAUCGGAAUCUACUUUUUCGUGGGGGAUAACGUAGGGAAACUUACGCUAAUACCGCAUACGACCUACGGGUGAAAGCAGGGGAUCUUCGGACCUUGCGCGAUUGAAUGAGCCGAUGUCGGAUUAGCUAGUUGGCGGGGUAAAGGCCCACCAAGGCGACGAUCCGUAGCUGGUCUGAGAGGAUGAUCAGUCACACUGGAACUGAGACACGGUCCAGACUCCUACGGGAGGCAGCAGUGGGGAAUAUUGGACAAUGGGCGCAAGCCUGAUCCAGCCAUACCGCGUGGGUGAAGAAGGCCUUCGGGUUGUAAAGCCCUUUUGUUGGGAAAGAAAAGUAGCAGGUUAAUACCCCGCUGUUCUGACGGUACCCAAAGAAUAAGCACCGGCUAACUUCGUG
This 492-nucleotide ribosomal RNA is filed under the name uncultured bacterium. RNAcentral's name for it is "partial 16S ribosomal RNA". It matches the Rfam family "Bacterial small subunit ribosomal RNA", at positions 29 to 507 of the family's 1533-position model. The record is from RNAcentral.